This 440-nucleotide ribosomal RNA is filed under the name uncultured bacterium. RNAcentral describes it as "partial 16S ribosomal RNA". It matches the Rfam family "Bacterial small subunit ribosomal RNA", at positions 338 to 795 of the family's 1533-position model. The record is from RNAcentral.
CCUACGGGCGGCAGCAGUGGGGAAUAUUGCACAAUGGGGGAAACCCUGAUGCAGCGACGCCGCGUGAAGGAAGAAGUAUUUCGGUAUGUAAACUUCUAUCAGCAGGGAAGAAAAUGACGGUUCCUGAAUAAGAGGCCCCGGCGAACUACGUGCCAGCAGCCGCGGUAAUACGUAGGGCGCAAGCGUUCUCCGGAUUUACUGGGCUGAAGGUGAGCGUAAGCGGCGAAGCAAGUAAGAUGUGAAAGCCCGGGGCUCAACCCCGGGACUGCUUUUGAUACUGGAUGGCUAGAUUGCAGGAGGGGCAAGUGGAAUUCCUAGUGUAGCGGUGAAAUGCGUAGAGAUGAGGAGGAACACCAGAGGCGAAGGCGGCUUGCUGGACUGGAAAUGACGCUGAGGCUCGAAAGCGUGGGGAGCAAACAGGAUUAGAUACCCGAGUAGUC